Long non-coding RNA from Cucumis melo (muskmelon), 4169 nucleotides. RefSeq lists it as uncharacterized. The record is from RefSeq and is a predicted model, not a curated record. The transcript has 5 exons. Lineage: Eukaryota; Viridiplantae; Streptophyta; Magnoliopsida; Cucurbitales; Cucurbitaceae.
AUUCCCAUCAAUCAGCCAAAAGAACCAACUCAACGCCACUGACGACGUAUCUCUUCCCGCAAGUAUAAAAUUCACGCAUAUAUCUUUCAAGAACUUGUCCGAAUAUGGCUCCCCGUUCUCGUCCUUCAGUCCCAUAAACACUGAUAACAGAACGGUGGCUUCCGUUGCCACCUCGAAGGCGUUGGCGAAGGGAAUCGCUGGUAAAUUAGGGCUCAAACAGCCGGGGUCAACGCCGAAGGCGAUCAUACAGACAUUGUCGAAAGUUAGGCGUAGAAGAAUGUCUUGGAGAUCAAUGGGCACCAAGUGUUCGACGAAAUGUCUGUCGAAAAUAGGGAGGAGCCGAGAAUGGACUAACACGUGGAGGGACUCAACAGUGAGUUGUCGAAACUUUGCUGAAUGGAAUUCGAUGCUGGUUGUCUUCCUCUGCUUGUGCCAAAUCUCGCCGUCGGCGUUGAAAAUUCCAUCACCGAGAAGGUCAUGGACUGUUUCACGGAAGAAGGAGCCUUUUGGGUACUUGAGAAACUCUGUUUUCAGAAUGUGCUCAAUGUUACGAGGAUCUGAAGUUACAACACAAUGCAAGCUACUAAACCAUGGCCCUUUGAAUCUGAAAGUUCCAUUUUGAUGGUAUAGCACUUCAGUGAUCCAUUCAUACAAGUUGCUUCGGAGUCCAGUGACUAAAGACGGUAACAUUCCGACAACCGGCCACACCGGUAGCCCCUGUUUUCUUCUUUGCCUCAAUGAUCUUAUUGCUGUAAAAAUAAAAAUUGCUAUGAAUAUCUCUAACAUUUGAAUGUCGGGUAAGAAGAAGAGCUUCCAUGCAACCAAUCUCUGAGAUGGGAAUUCACCGGAGGAGAUAGCGGUGAGGUUUCCGGAGCUCAACAUGGUGAUGGGCUAACGCUAACAGAGAAAGGGUGCAAAAACACACAUGAGAAAUACCUACUCUUUAAGUUAUCACAAGGAUCUGACACUCGACAAUUUAAGAGCGAGAGGAAGGCAAAGUGUUGGCAGAAAGGAAAUGAGAGAAAAGGGAGAGAGAUUGCUGAGGAGCAAAGACAGGGACUUGAUGGCCUGCCCCUCUCACAGUAGCCAAUAUGAGCCCUCCUCUGUAGGUUUCAACCCAACCAGCUACUUCUUGUUUGUGGAAAAUUACCAAAAGCUCAUCCAACAUAAGAUUGCAUCAAGCUUUGCGAGCACAUUUAACUUUGGAGAGUCCUUAUGAUCGGACACAAAAAACAAAGCUAGUUUUGGAAACUUACGUGCAUGGAGAAGAUUCGAGGAGUAGCAGUGAGAAGUGUUGGAGAAGUAAAGUUAGAAGAAGAAGAGAGACAAAUAGGAGAAUAAAUGCUAUAAAUAUCAAUGUCAGAGUAAGCUAAAGUAAAGCCUCUGGCAUGUUCUUCACAAUGAGUUGCUGCUGUUUGGUUAGUGGAGUUGGAAUCAGGAGUGAAUGAGCAUUCAUUCAUUAUGUUGUGAUAUAGUUUAUCUGAAAUUAUCCCAUGGCUCCAUGCAUAUUCCACCAUUCCCUUUGAAUCUCUUUCAUCAUCAAUUGCUGCAUUCCCCAUCUGAUGAUUUCAAUCCUCACUUUAGUCCGUAUUUUGUGUUUUCUGAAUUUCUAACCAUUUACUUAUUUUCUUUUUAACUUUAAUUUAUUAUAAUAGUAAUAAUGGUAGUCCGAUCCAUUUAUUUUGCAAAUAUAUAUAGAUUGAUAAACUUGAUAAAGAUAGCCUUACCAUGAAACCCUUGAGAUUAAUAAAAGUAUCCUUUGAAGAAUUUUGGUUUCUUUCAUGAAUCAGGUCAGCUAGCUGAGGAACAUAAUGACCUAAUGAUGUAUUAAGUAAUUUAAUUUAGGGCCAUCAAAAUCUCAAAAGAAAAAAGUGAAUUAGAUUAGAAAAGAAAAGGAAUAAUACCAGCAUAGCUCUCUCCAGCAAGAUAGAAAUGAUGAAGUCUGAAAUUUGGAAAUCUUUUGAACCAACCAAUAAGAAAAGCAUAAGAAUCUUGGGCAGUGAUUUUAUCUCCAAGCUUUUCUAAAUCUGUUGAUUUGUUUGUGUAUGAAAAUCCCACUCCUAUUGGUGCCUCCAAAAACAGCAUAUUUGCAGCUGAACAACAUAACCCCAUUUUCAUCACUAUAUUAUAUAAUUUAAAUUAACUUUAAGAAAAUGUUUAAUUUCUUCUAAAACUUUAAUAAGUCUUUAAACUUAUUCUUGUGUCUAUGAAUGGUGUAUUUGCUUGAAAUAUAUAUCAAGUGUUUUACUUAAAAAAAUAAGUCAUUAAAAAAAAAAAGUGUUUGACGAUGUUUUUUGGAAUGCAUUUUAAAUUAAUUUUAUCAAAAUAGUUUAAAUAAAAAUAAAAUCUUCGAAGAACUUCUUUUUUUUUUUUUUUUUCUUAAGCCAAAUUAAAUAGACGCUAUAUCCUUGACUAUGUUUUUAUUUCCAAAUAUAUUAACACAAAAUUGAAUAUGUACAAAAUAAUGUUUUAUAAUCAAUUAGUUUUUACUUUUUAAAAAUAUAAUAAUAAUUAAGCUUAUAAACCCAGUCUAUUUGUUUUAUUAUCUAAUUUUCUUUUGUUUGAAGAGUGUUUUUAAGAAACUAAAUUAGAUGUGUUUGAAAAGUUGAGUAACUAUGAACUCUUAAAAUUAGUCUUUACAAUUUGACCAAUGGUUAAAAUAUUUCUAAUUUAUAGUAUAAUUUUGUGUAGGAAAAAAUAUAUACUUUUAUCAAAAUAUAAAGCAAAAGCCAAAUGGUGAAUAAAUAAGAUUUUAAAGUUUUAUCAGACACAAAAAAUUUAAUUUCAUGUUAGUAGAUUUGUUAAUCAUAAAAGAUGUAAAAGAUAAAUAACCGCUUCAUGUAUUAGGAAUAUACUAGAUAUAGAAACGGAAAGUUUAUAGAGACAUUUUUAAGGUCUAUAUAAAAUAGAAAAUUUGUAGAAAUAUUUUUCACAAGGGAACAAAUUAAGAAAAAAAAGAUUAAAAGACUAAAUAAUUAAAGUAAAUAAUUAAGGCUAUGAGUUUUGAUGUUUGAAAAUUAAGUUUUAUUUUUUCUUAAUUACUAUUAUCUGCAUCUUUCUAAUAUAAAAAUUGAAUUAUUAACCAAAUUCUCAAGUUUUAAGAACUAUUAUUUUUUAGUUUUCAAAAUUUGCUUGGUUUUUUAACAAAUUUAUCAAAUGCAAAUAACAAAUCUAAAAGUUUAGAACUCAUUUGGAUUCACUUAGAAAAUGAUUUAUAAAAAAUAAAAUAUUUUUUGUUUAUCAUUAUUAUUAUUAUUAUUAUAAAAAAUUGUUUAAAACAUAUUUUAAAAGUGUUGCUAUAACACUUUUUUUUCUUUCUAAAACGUAUCAAUUUUUAAAAAAUAAACAAUUAAAAAUGUAUUUUAAACAGACUCCUAAAAUUAAUUAAUUGAAAUGAAUGUUUAUUAUAAAGUAAAUAUUUAGAAAGAAAGGAAAUAAAAAAAAAAAAAGUUAGGAAGUGUAAGUUAAAAGGGAGGGUACCUUUGUUCCAAGAGAAAUCAUUGAGUUUCAAUUGGCCAUUGCUUUGAACAAGAAAGGGACCCAACUCUUGGGCAGCUCCAUAGGCUAUGGAUGAGCACCCUGGUCCUAUUAUCAUUAUCAUUAUCAAUAUCAAUAUAUCAACUUUCUUAAAUAACAUUCACAUAAUCAAAUCAAUAAUCUUACCUACUUGGAGUACCUAAUAAAGUUAAAAAUCCAAUUGUUUAAAUAAAAACACAAAAGAGAAAAAAGCAUCUUUUCAUCUUCUUCAUAAACUUUAUCCUUUUUCUUUAGGAAUAUUUUAUCCUUUUUAAUACGAACCUCGGAUUCACUCGAACGAGAUAUACUAAUCUCUUCUAGAUUUGACUAAUAAUAAAAAUAAAAAUCUCUUUUUAAUCUUCAUUCAUAAACUAUCUAACGUCAAAUUCUUUGGUUGGUUUCUUUGAGGUUAACCACUGUGUAUCACAUAUGGCUUGCUGCAAACUCUUCCCAUAAAUAACUACUCGACUACCUCGAGAAGAUUAUUGAGAAAAAUGAAGAACAAAAAUUUUGUAGUUGUACCUCAUUCAAAAUAUUCUAUUGCGAUGUAAGUCUUUACCUUCAAUUGAAAAAUAUUUUGUAUGUAGUGUUGAACACUUCAGUCCAAAAAAAAACUUAUCCAUGAAUAUGAGAAAAUGCAAGAGAUUAAGGAA